RNAcentral lists this microRNA precursor (164 nucleotides) under Paramuricea clavata. Lineage: Eukaryota; Metazoa; Cnidaria; Anthozoa; Malacalcyonacea; Plexauridae. The record is from RNAcentral.
ACUUGCCUCCUCCGCAGGCAACUCUUUGGCAAGAAUUGGAAAAAGUAUUAUUAUGAAUAAAAAAAUUGGCAAAAAUGUGAAUAUGAUCCCUAACAAUCCCUAACUUUAAAUUCGCUGUUAUUCAUAAUAUUUUUGCCAAAGAGUUGCCUGCGGAGGAGGCUAUA